Molecule: ribosomal RNA, 253 nt
Filed under: uncultured bacterium
Lineage: Bacteria
Description: partial 16S ribosomal RNA
Rfam family: Bacterial small subunit ribosomal RNA
Source: RNAcentral
UACAGAGACUGCAAGCGUUAUUCGGAUUCACUGGGCGUAAAGGGUGCGCAGGCGGCCGGGUGUGUCAGAUGUGAAAUCCCGAGGCUUAACCUCGGAACUGCGUCUGAAACUACUCGGCGAGAGUACUGGAGAGGGUAACGGAAUUCACGGUGUAGCAGUGAAAUGCGUAGAUAUCGUGAGGAACACCAGAGGCGAAGGCGGUUACCUGGACAGUUACUGACGCUCAGGCACGAAAGCAUGGGGAGCAAAAGGG